Molecule: non-coding RNA, 75 nt
Organism: Parelaphostrongylus tenuis
Lineage: Eukaryota; Metazoa; Nematoda; Chromadorea; Rhabditida; Metastrongylidae
Source: the annotation of a GenBank genome assembly
GCGUCAGUAGUGCAGCAGGUUAGAGCACGCAUUCGCUGAUAGAGUGAGAUACGGGUUCGAGUCCCGCCUGACGCC